Molecule: ribosomal RNA, 253 nt
Filed under: uncultured bacterium
Lineage: Bacteria
Description: partial 16S ribosomal RNA
Rfam family: Bacterial small subunit ribosomal RNA
Source: RNAcentral
UACGUAGGUGGCAAGCGUUGUCCGGAAUUAUUGGGUGUAAAGCGCGCGCAGGCGGUCCUUUAAGUCUGAUGUGAAAGCCCACGGCUCAACCGUGGAGGGUCAUUGGAAACUGGGGGACUUGAGUGCAGAAGAGGAAAGCGGAAUUCCACGUGUAGCGGUGAAAUGCGUAGAGAUGUGGAGGAACACCAGUGGCGAAGGCGGCUUUCUGGUCUGUAACUGACGCUGAGGCGCGAAAGCGUGGGGAGCAAACAGG